RNAcentral lists this non-coding RNA (144 nucleotides) under Bacilliculturomica massiliensis. Its description in RNAcentral is "glmS glucosamine-6-phosphate activated ribozyme". It matches the Rfam family "glmS glucosamine-6-phosphate activated ribozyme aptamer", at positions 9 to 151 of the family's 167-position model. Rfam says of the family: This entry contains a glucosamine-6-phosphate activated ribozyme that is found in the mRNA for GlmS. GlmS is an enzyme that uses fructose-6-phosphate and glutamine to generate glucosamine-6-phosphate. The record is from RNAcentral. Lineage: Bacteria; Bacillati; Bacillota; Clostridia; Peptostreptococcales; Anaerovoracaceae.
GAAAAAGCGCCGGGACUCCCUGCGAAACGGCAGGGAGUUGACGAGGACGGGGGACGAUCGAAAGAUUCGGCGGAUGCCUCCGGGGUUCAAUGGGGAAUCCUCAGACGAACAGCAAAAACUGCGGGCGACCGCGGUCACAAAGGG